RNAcentral lists this ribosomal RNA (779 nucleotides) under uncultured crenarchaeote. RNAcentral describes it as "bacterial SSU rRNA". It matches the Rfam family "Archaeal small subunit ribosomal RNA", at positions 89 to 866 of the family's 1478-position model. Lineage: Archaea; Thermoproteati; Thermoproteota. The record is from RNAcentral.
CUCAGUAACGCGUAGUCAACCUAACCUAUGGACGGAAAUAACCUCGGGAAACUGAGAAUAAUGUCCGAUAGAACACUAUACCUGGAAUGGUUUGUGUUCCAAAUGAUUUAUCGCCGUAGGAUGGGACUGCGGCCUAUCAGUUUGUUGGUGAGGUAAUGGCCCACCAAGACUAUUACAGGUACGGGCUCUGAGAGGAGUAGCCCGGAGAUGGGUACUGAGACACGGACCCAGGCCCUAUGGGGGGCAGCAGGGGAAAAAACUUUGGCAUGGGGCAAAGCACGACAAGGGGUAAUCCGAGUGGAUUGGGGCUAACGAAUCUUUUGGUAGUCUUAGAACCACUAACGAAUAAGGGGGGGGGAAGUUCUGGGGGCAGCCGGCCGCGGAAAACCAGCACCUCAAGUGGUCAGGAUGAUUAUUGGGGCUUAAAGCAUCCGGUAGCCGGUUCUGUAAGUUUUCGGUUAAAUCUGUCCGUUCAACGUACAGGCUGCCGGGAAUACUGCAGAGCUAGGGAGUGGGAGAGGUAGACGGUACUCGGAAGGAAGGGGUAAAAUCCUUUGAUCUUUUGAUGACCACCUGUGGCGAAGGCGGUCUACCAGAACACGUCCGACGGUGAGGGAUGAAAGCUGGGGGAGCAAACCGGAUUAGAUACCCGGGUAGUCCCAGCUGUAAACUAUGCAAACUCAGUGAUGCAUUGACUUGUGGUCAAUGCAGUGCUGCAGGGAAGCCGUUAAGUUUGCCGCCUGGGAAGUACGUACGCAAGUAUGAAACUUAAAGGAAUU